CUGCAAUGAUGACAUCUUAGGACACCUUUGGAUUAACGAUGAAAACAAUCUUUACCUGAGCAGC
This is a small nucleolar RNA of Ictalurus punctatus (channel catfish), 64 nucleotides long. Its record names the gene SNORD58. It matches the Rfam family "Small nucleolar RNA SNORD58". From Rfam's summary of the family: snoRNA U58 is found in introns 1, 3 and 6 of the ribosomal protein RPL17 gene in humans. U58 is a member of the C/D class of snoRNA which contain C (UGAUGA) and D (CUGA) box motifs. Most of the members of the box C/D family function in directing site-specific 2'-O-methylation of substrate RNAs. Lineage: Eukaryota; Metazoa; Chordata; Actinopteri; Siluriformes; Ictaluridae. The record is from Ensembl.